RNAcentral lists this ribosomal RNA (376 nucleotides) under uncultured organism. RNAcentral describes it as "partial 16S ribosomal RNA". It matches the Rfam family "Bacterial small subunit ribosomal RNA", at positions 527 to 896 of the family's 1533-position model. The record is from RNAcentral.
GGGGGGAGCAAGCGUUGUCCGGAAUUACCGGGCGUAAAGGGCGUGUAGGCGGUUUAAUAAGUCAGAUGUAAAAGCCCCCGGCUUAACCGGGGAUUGUCAUUUGAAACUGUUAGGCUUGAGUGCGAGAGAGGGUAGUGGAAUUCCCAGUGUAGCGGUGAAAUGCGUAGAUAUUGGGAAGAACACCAGUAGCGAAGGCGGCUACCUGGCUCGCAACUGACGCUAAGGCGCGAAAGCGUGGGGAGCAAACAGGAUUAGAUACCCUGGGUAGUCCACGCUGUAAACGAUGAACACUAGGUGUUGGUUUGCCCGCAGGCUGAUCAGUGCCCGCAGUUAACGCAUUAAGUGUUCCGCCUGGGGGAGUACGAUCGCAAGGUUG